Molecule: ribosomal RNA, 373 nt
Filed under: uncultured bacterium
Lineage: Bacteria
Description: bacterial SSU rRNA
Rfam family: Bacterial small subunit ribosomal RNA
Source: RNAcentral
ACGAACGCUGGCGGCGUGCUUAACACAUGCAAGUCGAGCGGUAAGGCCCUUUCGGGGUACGACGAGCGGCGAACGGGUGAGUAACACGUGGGUGACCUGCCCUCAGCUCUGGGAUAAGCCUGGGAAACUGGGUCUAAUACUGGAUAUGACUCCACGGUGCAUGUCGUGGGGUGGAAAGCCUUGUGCGGCUGAGGAUGGGCCCGCGGCCUAUCAGCUUGUUGGUGGGGUGAGGCCUACCAAGGCGACGACGGGUAGCCGGCCUGAGAGGGCGACCGGCCACACUGGGACUGAGACACGGCCCAGACUCCUACGGGAGGCAGCAGUGGGGAAUCUUGCGCAAUGGGCGAAAGCCUGACGCAGCGACGCCGCGUGA